AACGAACGCUGGCGGCAGGCCUAACACAUGCAAGUCGAACGCCGUAGCAAUACGGAGUGGCAGACGGGUGAGUAACACGUGGGAACAUACCCUUCGGUUCGGAAUAACUCAGGGAAACUUGAGCUAAUACCGGAUACGUCCGCGAGGAGAAAGAUUCAUCGCCGGAGGAUUGGCCCGCGUCUGAUUAGCUUGUUGGUGAGGUAAUGGCUCACCAAGGCGACGAUCAGUAGCUGGUCUGAGAGGAUGAUCAGCCACAUUGGGACUGAGACACGGCCCAAACUCCUACGGGAGGCAGCAGUGGGGAAUAUUGGACAAUGGGCGCAAGCCUGAUCCAGCCAUGCCGCGUGAGUGAUGAAGGCCCUAGGGUUGUAAAGCUCUUUUACCCGGGAAGAUAAUGACUGUACCGGGAGAAUAAGCCCCGGCUAACUUCGUGCCAGCAGCCGCCGUAAG
RNAcentral lists this ribosomal RNA (450 nucleotides) under uncultured bacterium. RNAcentral describes it as "bacterial SSU rRNA". It matches the Rfam family "Bacterial small subunit ribosomal RNA", at positions 29 to 524 of the family's 1533-position model. The record is from RNAcentral.